GGCAGUGGUGGCCUAGUGGUUAAAGCUCUGGGUUACUGAUUGGAAUGUUGGGGGUUCAAGCCCCCGCACUGCCA
Molecule: non-coding RNA, 74 nt
Organism: Ameiurus melas (black bullhead)
Lineage: Eukaryota; Metazoa; Chordata; Actinopteri; Siluriformes; Ictaluridae
Source: the annotation of a GenBank genome assembly